RNAcentral lists this transfer RNA (82 nucleotides) under Apaloderma vittatum (bar-tailed trogon). It matches the Rfam family "tRNA". From Rfam's summary of the family: Transfer RNA (tRNA) molecules are approximately 80 nucleotides in length. Their secondary structure includes four short double-helical elements and three loops (D, anti-codon, and T loops). The record is from Rfam by way of RNAcentral. Lineage: Eukaryota; Metazoa; Chordata; Aves; Trogoniformes; Trogonidae.
GGGCGGUUAGCUCAAUCAGUUGAGCGUAGCACUAACAACGCUAAGAUCGCUAAGAUCGCGGGUUCGACUCCCGUUCAGUCUA